This 1446-nucleotide ribosomal RNA is filed under the name uncultured organism. Its description in RNAcentral is "bacterial SSU rRNA". It matches the Rfam family "Bacterial small subunit ribosomal RNA". The record is from RNAcentral.
UGGCUCAGGACGAACGUUGGCGGCGUGCUUAAUACAUGCAAGUCGAACGAGAAAGCUUCCUUCGGGAGGUGAGUAGAGUGGCGAACGGGUGAGUAACGCGUAGGUAAUCUAUCCUUGAGUUCGAGAUAACCCCGGGAAACUGGGGCUAAUACCGGAUGAAGCAGAGAUGUUAAAGGGGGGCAACUUCCGCUUGAGGUUGAGCCUGCGUCCUGUCAGCUGGUUGGUGGUGUAACGGACUACCAAGGCGACGACGGGUAGCUGGUCUUAGAGGAUGAUCAGUCACACUGGCACUGAGACACGGGCCAGACUCCUACGGGAGGCAGCAGUAGGGAAUAUUGCGCAAUGGGGGAAACCCUGACGCAGCGACGCCGCGUGAGUGAUGACGGCCCUAUGGGUUGUAAAGCUCUGUAAGGAGGGAAGAACCGGUUGGUGUAACGGCCAGCUCUGACGGUACCUCCAAAGUAAGGACCGGCUAAAUACGUGCCAGCAGCCGCGGUAAUACGUAUGGUCCGAACGUUGUCCGGAAUGACUGGGCGUAAAGGGUGCGUAGGCGGAGAUACAAGUCAGGUGUGAAAUCCCCGGGCUCAACCUGGGAACGGCGCUUGAAACUGUAUUUCUAGAGUAUGUCAGAGGUAAACGGAAUUCCCGGAGUAGCGGUGAAAUGCGUAGAGAUCGGGAAGAACACCGGAGGCGAAGGCGGCUUACUGGGGCAUAACUGACGCUGAGGCACGAAAGCGUGGGGAGCGAACGGGAUUAGAUACCCCGGUAGUCCACGCUGUAAACGCUGGAUACUAGAUGUUGGGUGUUUUACGAAACACUCGGUGUCGUAGCUAACGCGAUAAGUAUCCCGCCUGGGGAGUACGGUCGCAAGAUUAAAACUCAAAGGAAUUGACGGGGGCCCGCACAAGCGGUGGAGCAUGUGGUUUAAUUCGAUGCAACGCGAAGAACCUUACCCGGACUUGACAUCCCUGGCUACACAUAGAGAUAUGUGGUAUCUCUUCGGAGAUUCAGGAGACAGGUGCUGCAUGGCUGUCGUCAGCUCGUGUUGUGAGAUGUUGGGUUAAGUCCCGCAACGAGCGCAACCCUUACUGUCAGUUGCCAGCAUUAAGUUGGGCACUCUGACGGGACUGCCCGGGUUAACCGGGAGGAAGGUGGGGAUGACGUCAAGUCCUCAUGGCCCUUAUGUCCGGGGCUACACACGUGCUACAAUGGUGCAGACAGAGGGAAGCGAGACGGUAACGUUAAGCGAAUCUCAGAAACUGUACCUCAGUUCGGAUUGGGGUCUGCAACUCGACCCUAUGAAGUUGGAAUCGCUAGUAAUCGCGGAACAGCAUGUCGCGGUGAAUAUGUUCCCGGGCCUUGUACACACCGCCCGUCACACCAUGGGAGUUGUUCUCACUGGAAGACGUUGAGCCAGCCUUCGGGAGGCAGGCGUCAAUGGUGGGG